This 497-nucleotide ribosomal RNA is filed under the name uncultured bacterium. RNAcentral's name for it is "partial 16S ribosomal RNA". It matches the Rfam family "Bacterial small subunit ribosomal RNA", at positions 28 to 507 of the family's 1533-position model. The record is from RNAcentral.
GAUGAACGCUGGCGGCGUGCCUAAUACAUGCAAGUCGAGCGAACGGACGAGAAGCUUGCUUCUCUGAUGUUAGCGGCGGACGGGUGAGUAACACGUGGAUAACCUACCUAUAAGACUGGGGUAACUUCGGGAAACCGGAGCUAAUACCGGAUAAUAUUUUGAACCGCAUGGUUCAAAAGUGAAAGACGGUCUUGCUGUCACUUCUAGAUGGAUCCGCGCUGCAUUAGCUAGUUGGUAAGGUAACGGCUUACCAAGGCAACGAUGCAUGGCCGACCUGAGAGGGUGAUCGGCCACACUGGAACUGGGACAGGGUCCAGACUACUACGGGAGGCAGCAGUAGGGAAUCUUCCGCAAUGGGCGAAAGCCUGACGGAGCAACGCCGCGUGAGUGAUGAAGGUCUUCGGAUCGUAAAACUCUGUUAUGAGGGAAGAACAUAUGUGUAAGUAACUGUGCACAUCUUGACGGUACCUAAUCAGAAAGCCACGGCUAACUACGUG